GCUGGGAUAGCUCAUUUGGUAGAGAAUGAGGCUCUCAAUUUCAGGUUUGUGGGUUCGAGCCCCACACUGGGUG
Podarcis lilfordi (Lilford's wall lizard) is the source of this 73-nucleotide non-coding RNA. The record is from the annotation of a GenBank genome assembly. NCBI's taxonomy places the organism in Eukaryota, Metazoa, Chordata, Lepidosauria, Squamata, Lacertidae.